CACAGAGGGUGCAAACGUUGUUCGGAAUUACUGGGCGUAAAGCGCGUGUAGGCGGCCAACUAAGUCGGGCGUGAAAUCCCACGGCUCAACCGUGGAAGUGCACUCGAAACUGGAUGGCUAGAGUCCUGGAGAGGAAGGUGGAAUGCUUGGUGUAGAGGUGAAAUUCGUAGAUAUCAAGCGGAACACCGGUGGCGAAGGCGGCCUUCUGGACAGUGACUGACGCUGAGA
Molecule: ribosomal RNA, 228 nt
Filed under: uncultured bacterium
Lineage: Bacteria
Description: partial 16S ribosomal RNA
Rfam family: Bacterial small subunit ribosomal RNA
Source: RNAcentral